UGGCUGAAAACGUUUCGGAUGACUUGUGGAUAGGGGUGAAAGGCCAAUCAAACCCGGUGAUAGCUGGUUCUCCCCGAAAUAUAUUGAGGUAUAGCCUCGGGAAUUGAUUAGCGGAGGUAAAGCACUGACAGAGCUAGGGGUCCUACCAGAUUACCAAACUCUAUCAAACUCAGAAUGCCGCUUAAUCGUAUCCCGGGAGUCAGACGGCGGGUGCGAAGGUUCGUCGUCAAAAGGGAAACAGCCCAGACCAACAGCUAAGGUCUCCAAAUCCAUGCUCAGUGGUGAAGGUAGUGGAACCGUUUAGACAGCCAGGACGUUGGCUUAGAAGCAGCCAUCGUUUAAAGAAAGCGUAAUAGCUCACUGGUCUAAUGGCUCUGCGCCGAAAAUGUAACGGGGCUAAGCAUGGUACCGAAGCUUUGGCAAUCUCCUUUGGAGAUUGGGUAGGGGAGCGUUCGCUGCGGGCUGAAGGUGUAUCGGAAGGUAUGCUGGACUGCAGUGAAGUGAUUAUGCUGACAUGAGUAACGAUAAAAUAUGUGAAAAACAUAUUCGCCGAAAACCCGAGGUUUCCUGGGUAAAGGUAAUCUUCCCAGGGUUAGUCGGAUCCUAAGGUGAGGGUGAAAGCCGUAACCGAUGGAAAACAGGUUAAUAUUCCUGUACUUGUUGUGUAGCGCGAUGGAGGGACGCAGGAAGAUAGGCGGGCCGGGUGUUGGAUAUCCCGGUGCAAGCGUGUAGGAAUAUCCGGUAGGCAAAUCCGCCGGACGAAUCUGAGACGCGAGUCCGUGGGCGCAAGCCCUGAAGCCGUUGAGUCUAUGCUGCCUAGAAAAGCUCCUAAGUUUAUCCACAGCAAUCCGUACCGCAAACCAACUCAGGUGGGUGGGAUGAACAAUCCAAGGCGCUCGAGAGAACUCUGGCCAAGGAACUCGGCAAAAUAACCCCGUAACUUCGGAAGAAGGGGUGCUCUCUAGGGUGACAUGUUUAACAUAUGAAGCCCCGGGGAGCCGCAGUGAAUUGGUGGUGGCGACUGUUUACUAAAAACAUAGGUCUGUGCGAAGUCCUAAAGACGACGUAUACGGACUGACGCCUGCCCGGUGCUGGAAGGUUAAAAGGAGGGGUCAGCGCAAGCAAAGCUCCGAAUUGAAGCCCCAGUAAACGGCGGCCGUAACUAUAACGGUCCUAAGGUAGCGAAAUUCCUUGUCGGGUAAGUUCCGACCUGCACGAAUGGCGUAACGAUCUCCACACUGUCUCGGCCAGAGACUCGGUGAAAUUGAAGUCGCGGUGAAAAUGCCGUGUACCCGCAGAAAGACGGAAAGACCCUGUGCACCUUUACUAUAGCUUGACAUUGGAUUUUGGGCCUGCAUGUGUAGGAUAGGUGGGAGGCUGUGAACCCUGUACGCCAGUAUGGGGGGAGCCAUCCUUGAAAUACCACCCUUGCAUGUUUAAGAUCCUAACUUCUUCCGGUUAUCCCGGAGAAAGACAGUGUCUGGCGGGUAGUUUGACUGGGGCGGUCGCCUCCUAAAGAGUAACGGAGGCAUGCAAAGGUUCCCUCAGGCUGAUUGGAAACCAGGCGUUGAGUGCAAACGCAUAAGGGAGCUUGACUGUAAGAGAGACAUCUCGAACAGGAACGAAAGUUGGCGUUAGUGAUCCGGUGGUCCCGAAUGGAAGGGCCAUCGCUCAUUGGAUAAAAGGUACGCCGGGGAUAACAGGCUGAUCGCAUCCAAGAGUUCACAUCGACGAUGC
Molecule: ribosomal RNA, 1737 nt
Filed under: human gut metagenome
Description: bacterial LSU rRNA
Rfam family: Bacterial large subunit ribosomal RNA
Source: RNAcentral